RNAcentral lists this ribosomal RNA (132 nucleotides) under Vibrio alginolyticus. RNAcentral describes it as "partial 16S ribosomal RNA". It matches the Rfam family "Bacterial small subunit ribosomal RNA", at positions 1 to 113 of the family's 1533-position model. Lineage: Bacteria; Pseudomonadati; Pseudomonadota; Gammaproteobacteria; Vibrionales; Vibrionaceae. RNAcentral also lists the same sequence under 1 other name. The record is from RNAcentral.
UUAAAUUGAAGAGUUUGAUCAUGGCUCAGAUUGAACGCUGGCGGCAGGCCUAACACAUGCAAGUCGAGCGGAAACGAGUUAUCUGAACCUUCGGGGGACGAUAACGGCGUCGAGCGGCGGACGGGUGAGUAA